GACGAACGCUGGCGGCGUGCCUAAUACAUGCAAGUCGAACGAGAGCGACCGGUGCUUGCACUGGUCAAUCUAGUGGCGAACGGGUGAGUAACACGUGGGUAACCUGCCCAUCAGAGGGGGAUAACAUCCGGAAACGGAUGCUAAAACCGCAUAGGUCUUCGAGCCGCAUGGCUCGAAGAGGAAAAGAGGCGCAAGCUUCUGCUGAUGGAUGGACCCGCGGUGCAUUAGCUAGUUGGUGAGGUAACGGCUCACCAAGGCCGUGAUGCAUAGCCGACCUGAGAGGGUGAUCGGCCACAUUGGGACUGAGACACGGCCCAAACUCCUACGGGAGGCAGCAGUAGGGAAUCUUCCGCAAUGGACGCAAGUCUGACGGAGCAACGCCGCGUGAGUGAAGAAGGUUUUCGGAUCGUAAAACUCUGUUGUUAGAGAAGAACAAGUGCUAGAGUAAC
Molecule: ribosomal RNA, 449 nt
Filed under: Granulicatella adiacens
Lineage: Bacteria; Bacillati; Bacillota; Bacilli; Lactobacillales; Carnobacteriaceae
Description: bacterial SSU rRNA
Rfam family: Bacterial small subunit ribosomal RNA
Source: RNAcentral